AGAUUUCCAAUUCCUGAACUCCAUGGCUCCCUUGUAAACUGACCUAUGGUUCUGUGGCAUAGUCCUGGAGGUGCUGAAGUCCAGGCCAAGGGCCAUCAGACGUGAGAAAGGCAAGAGUAGGUAUAUCUGCUCAGCUCAGGCUAGCCUGGCAGUCCUCCUACACCAAUCUUGCACAUGAUGACAAGACCAACAACCCUUAGACUGCCCUCCACCCCUAUUAUUCUCAGUCUCCACCAUCUGACCUGCUCUUCUGUGCCCAGAUUUCUGACCCAGUCCCACAGGAGUCUACCCUGCUGCUCCAUUCCCACCUCCAAACUUUUGUGGGGGAGUCUCCCGCCCCCACUCAGCCUAGGAGACAGGUUUGGGCAUGGUGAGCCUUCUCUGAUAAUUCCACUCCAAAUGAAUUCCUCCUAUCUUAAGUCCCAAGUUCUGAGUCAAGUUAUCACCUCUCAAUUGUGUGCCUUAUGAGGCUAGUUUCUGCUCUUGGGGGUCAGGGGUUCUCCUGGGCUUCUCUCUGCCCUGGAGCUUGGGGCUUAUGCAUAGUCGGUAAACACCAUGACUUAUUCUAGUGAGCAACAGAGAGCCGAGCCAGUCCCUCCAAUGGCUGGUUUCCCUGCUUCUCCACUUGCUACUGAUGUGCAGCCCACCAGUGAGAUGGUCACCACAGCACAACUUUGCUGGCUCACGCAUGCUCAGGCCACCCCUUCCCGCAGCACAAACACACCCAUUCUACAACAGCAGCAGAUGAGGACACAAACUGACAUGUCUUGAGUGCCACAAGCUCAGUAUUACUAUCCUCAAUUUCAUAGAUGAGAAAACUGGCUCAGAGAGAAGCAAAAUAACGUGUCCAAAAGGGUCUGAACUAGAUAGACAAGCCGGAUGCCCCCUGGGCGGCAUGCUCUGCUUCCCACCACCAUGAUCUUGAAGCCUGUGAUCUGGUAACAGAAGAUAGAACCAUGGACUGGCAACAACUGAACAUGGAGUAAAGGAAGCCGCAGGCCCAACCCGAGCCCUUCUGCUCUAUAUCCCCCCUCUCCCUGGCACUCAUCACAGAAAUGGCAUGCCCUUGGAGGCAUCUCUCACCUCUCGCCUCCCAUAUCACCAAACUCAGGGGAUAGGAAGAAGGUCCAGCAUCCUCUGCUUAAGGACCAGAUAAGACUGGACAGAGGACGUGGAUCCCUUCCUCCUCCAGAAGACUCUGCUCCCUUGGGGGGAUGUAACAUUCCAGAAAGCAGAGGCUCAACCUUGCCCUGAGAGCGAAAAAUGUCCUGGUGCCAUGGUUGGACUGGCAGACUUUGGCCAACCCCUGAUUUUAUCAACUGAGGCACAGCGGGCUACAGUUCACACAGGAGAAAGCCAGGAUCGGAUUGGACACUUCUCACCCCUCCUAGUACCUCACCAGGGCUCCCCGGGGCCCUGCACUGAGCCUUCCUACCCCCUACCCUCUUCCUUCCUCCCCAGGCUCACUGUCAGCCCAAAGCAGGAGACACUAGAGAGCCACCCUCUAGCCACCGAAAGCAGCUCAUGUUGUUCCCCAAAGCCCAGGCAGACUCCUUGGGAAACGAGGACCCACAGGGACUCAGACUACCACCUACUCAAGGGUUAUAGCUCCUGAGGCAUAGCCCAUGCCAUCAUCCCAUGACAUCGGGCUUAGAGAAGAGCAGGCCCUCAGUUUCAUUUACCACUCUUUCUGCUCCCUAAGAGACAGGCCUUAAAGAAGAUAAAGUAUGCAGAGCGUUAGCACAGAACUUGGCACAGUGUAAGUGCUCAAUAAAUGGUUCCUCUCACCAUUAUCAUGACUCAUUAGGAUUUCCUGGCUGCCCAUUUCUCACCUCCCAGGCUCAUGUGAGGAGCUGUCUUUUCAUAAACUCAAGGCUCACUGAGGCUGGGAGACCAUUAAUGGAGUUCAGGGUUUCUGGGGCAGGAAAGUGAAACUGUAAGAGGGGAAAGGGGGCUGGAAGCGAGGCUGGACCUACAGCCAGGAGUCCUCUGAGGUGAGAAGGCCCCUGUGCCCUCUGCUAGCAGGAUGAGCCCAGCGCCUCCCCAGAAAAUCUCUCUGAAGACCCAAGGCUUGGCAGGGAGCCAGGGCAGGAGGCCUCUCAAAGAAGACGCUGGCUCUGAGCCAAGGCGCAUCCCAGAAGCUUCAGCUCGCCUAGAGCAGCACAAGCUUCAGGGAGGAGGGGCAGCCAGGGAGGGGCAACAGAGAGCUCUGGGCUAAAGGGAACCUGCUCAGAGUGCGUUUGGGCAUGAACUUGGGACACACAGCUUUCUUCCCAUGCCCUAUGGUUUCCACACACCUGGGGGACUAUGAAAUCACUGCAAGGACAGGGAUAGGGGCCUGGGGAGGUGAUCCACCCCCAGGACAACCCUCCUGUCACCUACAUCUGUGCCCAUACAAACUCCAUGGGGCACUGCUACACCUCCACCCAAAGACUUCUGGGGUUACCCACUGGCUCUGUUUCCCCCACCCUAGAUUCUGAAAAACAGUGUUGCCUGAAGAUUCACACUUUCUACCUUCAAGGACUGUGGGGUAACCCCCAUUUAAGGGGCUAUACUGGACACCCCUAAAAGCCUCUUUAGACCUGAGCCUCUCUAGUGGCCUCUGGCCUGGCAUUUCCAUGGCCUUCUAUACACAGAGCUCUCUGUAGCCAGGGACCUUCCAGGGAUAGAUCAGGAUUAGUUACUGAACAUUAGGGCUAAAAGAGGUCUUAAUUUUCUAGUCUUGACCAAUAAAAUAUGAGCAGCAUAUAUCCUUUUAAAUUUCUUAGAAGCCACAUUAAAAAGGAAGAAGAAAAAAAAAAAAAAA
This 2806-nucleotide long non-coding RNA is filed under the name Canis lupus familiaris (dog). RNAcentral describes it as "lncRNA (ENSCAFG00845000244.1)". The record is from RNAcentral. Lineage: Eukaryota; Metazoa; Chordata; Mammalia; Carnivora; Canidae.